Talpa occidentalis (Iberian mole) is the source of this 132-nucleotide small nucleolar RNA. RefSeq annotates it as small nucleolar RNA SNORA70. The transcript has a single exon. NCBI's taxonomy places the organism in Eukaryota, Metazoa, Chordata, Mammalia, Eulipotyphla, Talpidae. The record is from RefSeq and is a predicted model, not a curated record.
AGUGAACAUUAAAAGCUUUACAUUCUUUCCCAGGGGGCCUGUUGUAUCAUGGCUGCAAACAGCAACUUCCUUGUUAUAGUGUAUGCAGCCUGUUAAUUUCAUGGGUUGCUCUAAGGGACUGUGGAGACAGCC